Sinocyclocheilus grahami is the source of this 194-nucleotide long non-coding RNA. RefSeq lists it as uncharacterized. NCBI's taxonomy places the organism in Eukaryota, Metazoa, Chordata, Actinopteri, Cypriniformes, Cyprinidae. The record is from RefSeq and is a predicted model, not a curated record. The transcript has 3 exons.
CUUUUAUCUUAGCAGUCGUGACGGCUGCGCGCGCUGCGGUUCCCCUCGAGCGCAUCCGGCAUCAUGUCGGCGUCUGAGACCCCAUCAGAUGGGAGCUCUCCUCAAUCCAAACAGGAAGUGGAGCUGAUUCCGCCUGUAAAGGGAAAACAGAUGGAAGACGUGACGGGACGUCCCACCACAUCCACUGAAUCAUU